GUACACAAGCCCUACAGAAAACCUGACACGACUUCGCGCGGAUCAUUUCAGCCAUGAAAAAGUUCUCCGGUUCUUUGGUUCUGUUGUGCAUUGCUGUCUCAUUCUUGCUGUUGACUUGUAAUCCGGAAGUGGAAGGUGCGGCACCCAUGGGUCCAGGCUCCAUAAACGUGGCCAAAAGAUCCAGAUCGGAGUUUUUUCAUUCUCGAAGGAGCAUCUGUGAGGCAGCACGUGCUCUGAAUUGCCUGAGAGAUGACUAACACUAACAACAGCUGGAAACACGAAGCAUAAAGUAACCUGGUCUAAAUUGUCAAUAAAGUAAAUGACUGUUUAAUGA
This is a long non-coding RNA of Pocillopora verrucosa, 334 nucleotides long. RefSeq lists it as uncharacterized. Lineage: Eukaryota; Metazoa; Cnidaria; Anthozoa; Scleractinia; Pocilloporidae. The record is from RefSeq and is a predicted model, not a curated record.